RNAcentral lists this ribosomal RNA (253 nucleotides) under uncultured bacterium. RNAcentral describes it as "partial 16S ribosomal RNA". It matches the Rfam family "Bacterial small subunit ribosomal RNA", at positions 524 to 776 of the family's 1533-position model. The record is from RNAcentral.
UACGGGGGGGGCAAGCGUUGUUCGGAAUUACUGGGCGUAAAGGGCUCGUAGGCGGCCAACUAAGUCGGAUGUGAAACCCCCAAGCUUAACUUGGGAACUGCAUCCGAUACUGGAUGGCUUGAAUCCGGGAGAGGGAUGCAGAAUUCCAGGUGUAGCGGUGAAAUGCGUAGAUAUCUGGAGGAAUACCGGUGGCGAAGGCGGCAUCCUGGCUCGCAACUGACGCUCAGACACGACAGCAUGGGGAGCGAACGGG